UGCACAUGGGUGGCUGCACGCCGCCGCCGCUCUAACAGGAAAUACACGCCCGACCUGGGGUGGGGUCUUUUGUGUGGUCCUGCGGGGCGUCUGGCAGGAGCCCCGGGGCGCACCGGCCACGGGGGGCGGCCCUGCACGCGAUGCCAAGCAAGACUCCCUGUGCCCCCGGCAGCGGGCACACAGGCGCCCAGGUUUGCCUUUCCAGAUCAAGAGGGAGUCCACGUGAAACGUACUGUGGUGCAGGCGGGAGUUCCCACAGAGAUGCCGGAGUUGGACGCUCCCAGAGAGAACGCCCUGAAUGCACUCUGCCCCGAGUUGGGCGCCCCACCGUCUUGGACAGAAACCCUCCUUCCAGUGGUACCCUGGAGGUGAUAUGCCCUGGAAGCGAUCUCAGAAGGGGCAGGGCACUUGCAGGCCAGAACCCAGUUCUCCUAUGAGAUUGGCAGUGUCUGAGCCUGGCCCAGAAGGAAUGGGUUCUAAAUUCUUAAACUGUAAAGAAUUUAAACUGUAACUCUUAAUGCUUAAUCCAAAAGCAGCCCAGUCCUGCAGAAAAUUGUUACUGGAAAUCCAGAUUGAGAUUCAUUAAAAAAAUUAAAAAAUGUC
Leopardus geoffroyi (Geoffroy's cat) is the source of this 603-nucleotide long non-coding RNA. RefSeq lists it as uncharacterized. The transcript has 2 exons. NCBI's taxonomy places the organism in Eukaryota, Metazoa, Chordata, Mammalia, Carnivora, Felidae. The record is from RefSeq and is a predicted model, not a curated record.